This 582-nucleotide ribosomal RNA is filed under the name uncultured bacterium. RNAcentral describes it as "bacterial SSU rRNA". It matches the Rfam family "Bacterial small subunit ribosomal RNA", at positions 338 to 915 of the family's 1533-position model. The record is from RNAcentral.
CCUACGGGAGGCAGCAGUGGGGAAUUUUGGACAAUGGGCGCAAGCCUGAUCCAGCCAUUCCGCGUGAGUGAAGAAGGCCUUCGGGUUGUAAAGCUCUUUCGCAAGAGAAGAAAACUUACUUUCUAAUAAAGAGUGAGGUUGACGGUAUCUUGAUAAGAAGCACCGGCUAACUACGUGCCAGCAGCCGCGGUAAUACGUAGGGUGCGAGCGUUAAUCGGAAUUACUGGGCGUAAAGCGUGCGCAGGCUGUUUUGUAAGUCAGAUGUGAAAUCCCCGAGCUCAACUUGGGAACUGCGUUUGAAACUACAAGACUAGAAUAUGUCAGAGGGGGGUAGAAUUCCACGUGUAGCAGUGAAAUGCGUAGAGAUGUGGAGGAAUACCAAUGGCGAAGGCAGCCCCCCUGGGAUAAUAUUGACGCUCAUGCACGAAAGCGUGGGGAGCAAACAGGAUUAGAUACCCUGGUAGUCCACGCCCUAAACGAUGUCUACUAGUUGUUGGUGGUAGUAAAAUCCAUGAGUAACGCAGCUACGCGUGAGUAGACCGCCGUGGGAAGUCGGUGCAGAUUAAACUUAAAUGAUUGNGG